CUUCUUCAUGAGGAUGAGUUCCUCCCUCAUACCUUCAACCUCCAUUUCCAGAUCUGUGGUGGUAAUGGUCAGACCAUCUAGGAUCUUACGCAGUGCCUCAACUUCAACUUCCAUGUCUUUUGUGAAGAAGAGCUCAUUCUCAUACCUUUGGGAGAAUUAAAUGAGGAAAGAAUAAAUAAUGUCGACAAGAAUGAACUUACUUGAAACCGAAGUCAUCUACUGCCAUUCUGGCAUUGUCAAUCUGAAGGAUAAUCUUGGCAUUGGCUGAAUUGGAUGAAGACCAGCAACUGUAUUGGUGGGAUGAUGCCGACCAGAGGAUGGCUGACAGCAAACUAAGUCGG
Molecule: long non-coding RNA, 341 nt
Organism: Tachyglossus aculeatus (Australian echidna)
Lineage: Eukaryota; Metazoa; Chordata; Mammalia; Monotremata; Tachyglossidae
Exons: 3
Source: RefSeq, a predicted model, not a curated record